Molecule: ribosomal RNA, 484 nt
Filed under: uncultured bacterium
Lineage: Bacteria
Description: partial 16S ribosomal RNA
Rfam family: Bacterial small subunit ribosomal RNA
Source: RNAcentral
AUUGAACGCUGGCGGCAUGCUUUACACAUGCAAGUCGAACGGCAGCGCGGGCUUCGGCCUGGCGGCGAGUGGCGAACGGGUGAGUAAUACAUCGGAACGUGCCCAGUAGUGGGGGAUAGCUCGGCGAAAGCCGGAUUAAUACCGCAUACGACCUGAGGGUGAAAGCGGGGGAUCUUCGGACCUCGCGCUAUUGGCGCGGCCGAUGGCAGAUUAGCUAGUUGGUGGGGUAAAGGCCUACCAAGGCGACGAUCUGUAGCUGGUCUGAGAGGACGACCAGCCACACUGGGACUGAGACACGGCCCAGACUCCUACGGGAGGCAGCAGUGGGGAAUUUUGGACAAUGGGCGAAAGCCUGAUCCAGCAAUGCCGCGUGUGUGAUGAAGGCCUUCGGGUUGUAAAGCACUUUUGGCGGGAACGAAAAGGACUGUGCCAAUACCACGGUUCGAUGACGGCACCCGCAGAAUAAGCACCGGCUAACUACGUG